GCGGACGAGCGCGGGAGCCUGGCGAACCGGGCUGAGAGUGCGGCUGAGACGGCCGCUGACCGCUGGAACCUGACCGGGUAAUGCCGGCGUAGGGAGUAGUCGAAUCGCCAUGAC
Regulatory RNA element from Thermomonospora curvata DSM 43183, 114 nucleotides. It matches the Rfam family "TPP riboswitch aptamer (THI element)". Rfam says of the family: Vitamin B(1) in its active form thiamin pyrophosphate (TPP) is an essential coenzyme that is synthesised by coupling of pyrimidine and thiazole moieties in bacteria. The previously detected thiamin-regulatory element, thi box was extended, resulting in a new, highly conserved RNA secondary structure, the THI element, which is widely distributed in eubacteria and also occurs in some archaea. Analysis of operon structures identified a large number of new candidate thiamin-regulated genes, mostly transporters, in various prokaryotic organisms. NCBI's taxonomy places the organism in Bacteria, Bacillati, Actinomycetota, Actinomycetes, Streptosporangiales, Thermomonosporaceae. The record is from Rfam.